CGCGGGGUGGAGCAGUCUGGUAGCUCGUCGGGCUCAUAACCCGGAGGUCGCAGGUUCAAAUCCUGCCCCCGCAACCA
This 77-nucleotide transfer RNA is filed under the name Tenuibacillus halotolerans. RNAcentral's name for it is "tRNA-Met". It matches the Rfam family "tRNA". Rfam says of the family: Transfer RNA (tRNA) molecules are approximately 80 nucleotides in length. Their secondary structure includes four short double-helical elements and three loops (D, anti-codon, and T loops). RNAcentral also lists the same sequence under 8 other names. The record is from RNAcentral. Lineage: Bacteria; Bacillati; Bacillota; Bacilli; Caryophanales; Bacillaceae.